RNA transcript from Pelobates fuscus (common spadefoot toad), 3506 nucleotides. It is a transcript of the gene named solute carrier family 25 member 18, with no coding region annotated. The transcript has 11 exons. The record is from RefSeq and is a predicted model, not a curated record. NCBI's taxonomy places the organism in Eukaryota, Metazoa, Chordata, Amphibia, Anura, Pelobatidae.
CAAGCCCUGAGUUUAGCAAAAAGAGAAUCCUGCUACUUUUUACAGCAGUGAAAAGAAAAACUGGGAACUUCUACUCUGUAUUAUAACCUACAGGGUGAAAAUCCUGUUCUAGAAGCAAAAUCUGCGCAUUGCAAAACUGAUACUUCAACAAUAUUGCAAUACUGAGAUCUUCUAAAAAAUCUAAAGCAUUUUAUUUGCACAAAUAAAUAAAUAUUUUUUUCGGAAAAAAAAAAGGGCAGACUUUUAGACUUCCCGGCUAAAGCAAAGCAAAAACUGUGGAGUUGUUUGCUGGUAUUUUGGUAAAAAUCUAAAUUAAACAAAAACUACGUUUGCCAUUAAAGGUUGACACACAGUUCCAACUUUUAAGGCCAUCAUUGACCAUAGGAGAAGACUUUCUUGGAGAGGCCCAGAAAGGAAUAUUUGUUGAUCGCUGGGAUACCCAUAGUCCCUGACAGUCAUUGUUCACAUCAUUGUCUUGUUAACAAGCUAGAUCUGGAAUCAUGCCUGAAAAAAUCAGCUUGCCAGCUAAACUGAUUAAUGGUGGAAUAGCUGGACUCGUUGGAGUUACUUGUGUUUUCCCCAUUGACCUUGCCAAGACAAGACUACAGAACCAGCAAGGACGCAGCUUCUACACUGGGAUGUUUGACUGUUUGGUAAAGACGGUUCGUUCGGAAGGAUUUUUUGGCAUGUACAGAGGUGCAGCAGUCAAUCUUACCCUUGUCACCCCGGAGAAAGCCAUCAAACUGGCAGCCAAUGAUUUCUUCCGAAACAAGCUGACCCAAGAUGGGAAGGAACUGACAUUAGUCAGAGAAAUGUUGGCUGGUUGUGGGGCCGGAACCUGUCAAGUGAUCGUAACGUCUCCCAUGGAGAUGCUGAAAAUUCAGCUGCAGGAUGCGGGACGCUUGGCAACACAGAAGGUUGUAUCUGUGGAUGGAGCAACAGCAGUUCCUCACACGUCAACUACCACCUCAAAGAGGCCCUCUGCUCUACAGAUCUCCCGAGAGCUACUACGUACAAAGGGCAUCUCGGGAGUGUACAAGGGACUUGGUGCUACACUCCUCAGGGAUGUUCCAUUCUCUGUCAUCUACUUUCCCCUUUUUGCAAAUAUAAAUAUGCUUGGCCAGACAUCUUCCCAUGAGAAGGCACCAUUCUACCAUUCAUUUUUUGCUGGAUGUUUGGCAGGGUCUGUGGCUGCUGUUGCGGUGACUCCACUAGAUGUGUUGAAGACUCGGAUUCAGACGCUGAAGAAGGGAUUAGGAGAAGACGUGUACAAUGGAAUUGUGGACUGUGCCAGGAAGAUAUGGAUCAAUGAGGGUCCCUCUGCUUUCAUGAAGGGGGCUGUCUGCCGGGCCCUAGUUAUAGCCCCGCUUUUUGGCAUAGCCCAAGUUGUUUAUUUUAUUGGUAUUGGAGAAUACAUCCUUGGAUACAGUAAAUAACUUCUGACGAUGCAUGGACACAGACUGAAAAUGUCAGACCAAGGAGAGCAGAACUCCAUGUUCGAUAAUGAUACACCAUAUGUACUUGAUAACCCCAGAAUAGCUCAUUGUGUAAAAGAUACAAUGGAGUUCGGCAGAUUCAAAAACUGGAAACUAGCAAAUUCUCAAGAGUUUUGUAUCAAACCUGAGAGCCUUUUAUUUAACCCUACCAUUGUAUCCUGAUAAUGGCCUUUUAGGUCAUGAUGCAACAAAGACCCAGUAUAGGUUUGUAUGCCACACAUGCCUGGUACAAUCUGACAAUUCUCAAUUUAGAUUGUUUUAUAAGUUGCAAUGAUGACAUUGAGUUGGGUUUGUACUGUUCCAUAUAUGUGGCUCGAAUUAGAAAUACAAUGCAGCAUUUGCACUUUAUUGCAGUCAUCUACAAGCUAGUGCUCAUGGACCUCUUACAAUUCAGGAGUUACAGAUUUCCCAAUUCUGUUUAGAUGGUGGUAUUGAAAAGACCAAAAAUGUUGUUGGAAAGAAUUAUUAUUACUAUUACUCUAGGCCUGGCCAAAAUGCACAGACCUUCAAAGUGUUAAGGGCCCCAAAACACUUACUGCCUGCACCAUAGCCACAAAGCUAGGUUGUUUUUGAUGUUGUGAAGGAGAGGAAGCUGUGCCAACCAAUGGUGUGUAAGAUUUUACUAUAUCAUAUCUCCCUAUUUAAAAGGGGCAUUCCCUAUUUUGGCCCCAAAUCCCUGUUUUCUAUCUGGUUUCUAUUUUCUGGAAGCUCCAUAGUGUUGGUAUGUCUACAUGUAUAACAGAACUCCACAGCAAUAAUACUCCCAUUAAUGUGUCUGUAAACUACAGUAAAUGUGUUUAGAAAUCAAUCUGUGUAAAUAAGAUGCAUUGUUCAUGUUUUAAAAUUACAUAAGUUAUUAUUGUCAUCUACAGCCUGCCCCUUACCACAACCCUGCUCACACCUCUACAAUAAGUAAUGUUGGGAGGCAUGCUAUUCAAAUGCUCAAUCUUUAGUUAAGUUGUGUGUAAAACAGUAUGAAGCAAGAGUGACUUUGAAAUUGAAGUCCAAAAUAGCUAAACUGGAAAAGAUUUUCAGGUCGGCUAUAUUACCAGUUUAACUACUUUUUUAUCUUUAAAUUUAAAAUGUAUAUUGAAUUUCCAACAAUUGUCACAUGUGCCAUAGCUGCUCAUACUAUAUUUUCUAUAUCACCAGUCCCACCAUUGUUACCCUGCCAAACCAGACAUAUCAGCAUCACAUAACUGUCUAUAUAUUCAUAUAUUAGAUCAGUUUAUAGUGCAUAAGCCCACAAUACAGAGAUCAAUAUGAUCUUGAUACUUUGUAAGACUUUGAGCGUGAGAGUAGGACGUUUUCCACUCCCUGUUUGAUGUAGAGGCCACUACUUCAAUCCUAGAAGGAAAGACAGGAUAAGUACAACUUACCACCUUUAAUGGAGAGUGAUAUCAUUGGCUCUACAUACAAAGAGUCAAGUCAGCCUGAGAUCAAAGCAUCAUUGUUUUCCACCAUUUUGUAUUUCAAUAUUGAUUUUUCUUAUCCACCUCCAUAUUCCCAGUUUGUUGCUAUACUCUUCUUAUUCCAACUGACAAGGGAACUGGAAUAUUCCCAAUUCAGCACCUUAUCAUCUUCACUAGUUUCAUCUAAAACCUGCCAUUAUCAUGUCAAACCAAUAAACCAUUGUGUUUACACUACAAGUCCAAAUAUAUGUUAAACAGGUUUUAGGGACUCUAGCACCAGAUUAUUUGGUGCUGUACUGUGCCUGGUGCAAAGCGGUUUCCAAUUUCCAUUCCAGAACUUUUUUGGAAUGGGAAUUCUCAUGGUAUGAUUUGGAAUAAAGUGUGGCUACAGGCAGUAUUUUAUUACGCAUUGGAUCUCUUCUGCUCUAACAAUGAUAUUGUUUACAGUCUACUGCAGCAACUUUAUAUCGUCCAUUAUAAGUAUUAUCAGAUCUUUACCAUUCUUCUAUAUACAGAAUUUGCUUAAGAAAGGUUAUUUUAUACAUCAUCUUGGAUUAGAGUUUUAUGUAUAAACUGGCAAUAAAUUCAUUUAAAAUUC